This 512-nucleotide ribosomal RNA is filed under the name Parnassius loxias tashkorensis. RNAcentral's name for it is "partial 16S ribosomal RNA". The stretch from base 385 to 512 matches the Rfam family "Bacterial large subunit ribosomal RNA", at positions 2473 to 2600 of the family's 2925-position model. Lineage: Eukaryota; Metazoa; Arthropoda; Insecta; Lepidoptera; Papilionidae. The record is from RNAcentral.
UUUUUGAUUAAUAAUUUAAAGUCUAAUCUGCCCACUGAUAAUAUAUUAAAGGGCUGCAGUAUUUUGACUGUACAAAGGUAGCAUAAUCAUUAGUCUCUUAAUUGGUGACUUGUAUGAAAGAUUUAAUGAGAUAUAUACUGUCUCUUUUUAAUUUAUAAAAUUUAAUUUUUUAGUUAAAAAGCUAAAAUUUAUUUAAAAGACGAGAAGACCCUAUAGAGUUUAAUAUUUAAUUGAAUUAGAAUUUUUUAUAAGAUUUAAAAUUUUAAUUUUAAUAAAUAUUUUGUUGGGGUGACAAAAAAAUUAAAAAAACUUUUUUUAUUAAUUUACAUAAAUAAAUGAGUAAAUGAUCCGUAAUUUACGAUUAAAAGAAAAAAUUACCUUAGGGAUAACAGCGUAAUUUUUUUUUUUAGUUCAAAUAAGAAAAAAAGUUUGCGACCUCGAUGUUGGAUUAAGAUAAAAUUUAAAUGCAAAAGUUUAAAAUUUUUGAUCUGUUCGAUCAUUAAAAUCUUACA